AAAUGACAUGAACAUAUAUAUAACUAUCUUACAUUUAACAAGGGGAAGAAACGAGGUUGAAGGAUAGAACAUAAAAUGCAUCACUUCACAGACACGCACAAAUGUAUAUAUAUCACACGUACUUGCGCUAACACAAAGACUACACAAUGUAACAAGGUUCUUAAGCAAGAAAUGACAGGGGAUAUAUAUAUCGCUAAUUAUCAAGCAAACAAACUGAGUGACACAUGCCACGGUUCAGCUCACAGAUCACAAAUGUAACACUACAAACACAAGCCUGAAAUUGAACAAAUCACUAUAUUAUACAGUACUAACUCCUAUGAGUUACAGAGAGAGAAACUGCAGCAGCGAGUUGGGGAUUCAUAGAAGAACAGCAGGGUCAUUUUCUUCAGAAAGGAAUAGCAGCAAGGAAUGAGAACAGCAGCAGCGUGGAGGUUUGGAGAAGAAGCAGCAGCAAAUGAAGAGGAGCAGCAGCAGUGACGUGAGGAGAAGAAGGGCAGCAAGGGCUUGGGGUAAGCAGAAGGUUCAGAGAAGAGUAGGAGGUAGCAAUAGCUUCAGCGCAGGGAGAGAAGCAGCCGCGGUUUGGGUUCACAGAAGUAUCAGCAAGAGAAAUUGAGGGAGCAGCAGCAGGGGGGGCGAUGGAGUCGAUGGUGGUGCUGGGUGCUGCUGGUGCAGUGGAUGGAGAAUGCAGAUGCAGUGGCUUGCGGAGAUGGACGGAGAAGGUGGUGGCUUGCGGCGACGGAAGAUAUGGAUGAAGAUGGUGGUGGCUUGCGGCGCUAAUGGAUGGGAGGCGCACCACCACGCCGGCCUGGCCAUGGCGGUGGCCGGAGCUGGAGGAGGAGAGGUGAGGGAGAGAGAGGUGUAGCCAGGCCCGAAGGGGAUCGAUGGUUGCCGCUAGGGAUUUGAUCCCCCUCCUCUGAUCUGCCACUUUUGCUCUUUUGCCCUUCCACUUCUCUUCUUUCUUCACAAGAUGGUCCCUCCAACUUUAGCUUGGCCCCUCUGGUUACUUCUUUUCUUCACGGCCGGGUCCCUCCGUAAAUUACAGCAACCACAGUUUCUUGACACUCUCCAUUAUAGAAGGAUUUUGGGCUUUUUCGCCCUUUUCUGCAAAACAUGGAGGAGUGUUGUAAAUGUAGCAUAAUGGGGGUAUUAGAAUAUUUCUUAAGUAAAUAAUGUGAAAAUAUGAUUACAAUAGGAUGCAAAAAGGCUAAAAAGAUUAUAUGAAGAAAUGCUCUAUCAAGUUCCCCCACACUUAAAUCUUUGCUUGUCCUCAAGCAAAGGCAUAUGACAAGAGCUAGAUAGUGAACAGUGAGCUGACUAGAGAAUGUCCCAGUGAAGUAGAUCUCCAAACAUUGCAUGCUUUGGACUUAGCUAGUGAAAAUCAAUGGUUAAGAGUGCUACAUAUCAAUAGGACACUAGUAAACUCGGCCAUUUUAAACUUUUGCAAUGAUAAACGAAGAUUAGCAAGUUCAAAUGCUGACUGUGCCAAAAGGUUCCUAAAGAGAGCAUGAUCCUGAGAACAAAAGGAACUUGAAUUAAAUCACUUAUUUGCAGAAAUAUAACAUUGUGGUUGAACCACUUAUUAAAUUUGAAGGAAGUAAUGAUAAUAUUUUAUCAGUCUCACCAAAGGAACAUACCACCGAUCCCGAGAACAUGGUAUACACCUGGCUCGACCAAUUAUUAGUUUUUUUAGUUUGUCUCCCCAAAGGAACAUACCACCGAUCCAGAGAACAUGGUAUACCCCUGGUUCGACAAUUACAUUUUUUUAAUAUAAUUAACUCCUAUCCGAUCCAACUAGAUUUCACAAGCCACCGAUCCAGGGAACAUGACAUGCUACUGUUAGGUAGAUCAGAUAAUUAUUCAUUAUAAGAUAUGCCUUUUUUUAAUGAAAAAACACAAGAAUCAUCACUCAACCAGGUCUGGUUCACAUGCUACCGAUCCAGGGAACAUAGCAUACUAGUCCAUAGUGGUAAGUGAUUGCUCUGAAUGGGAACACAUUAGGCACAAACUCAGCAUCUGACACUUAAUGAUCUAGGUGCAUCGAGGUAAAAGCAGAAAAUGAUUAAGUUUUCUAGUGUACUAGGGAUUUGAGCACUCAAAACUAAUAGCUUUCACUAAUUUCAGAAAGCAAGCAAUAUGUAGAUCACUAGUUUACAUGGCAUUCAACAAUCAGUUCGCAUAUUCUCAUCAAGCACCAUAUGUCAAAUAAAAUUCAGUGGGGCAACAUUUAAGACAUGGCUUAAGCAACCCAAAUAACAUUUGAUUUCAGCAUGUAUCAAUGGAUGAUAUACUCGGAAUGGGUCAUGAAACAGCUCACCGGGCACUAUGAAGUAGCACUCGCUUGAUCACUCUCUAAGUUGCUGCUCUUCUCCUUUUGCUUCUCUAUCCUCAUGCCUGCUCCAGCUUGUCCCUUCCUCGCGUGUGUGCCCAUUGCUUCUCCUCAUCUCCAUGCUCAGGAUCCACCGGGGUCCCAAGGAAUGUCACCUCGAACCUGGUCAGCAUGUAGUGAUUCGUGCACAAGCAAGAACCUGAAAGAGCACUCAAUGAAAGAGACAAUGCAAGUGGUAGGGAUAAUACCCUCCAAGUCAUCAAUCGAAUAUCCAAUUACAUAAGCAUAGCUAUAAAGCACAUGUUUAGGGUGGUAGAAAUUAGCAAGGUCAACACUAACAUGAGGAUGAUAUUUAUCAUUAAGCUCAAGACUAGCAUGGGAAUGAUAUGUUUCAUUAAGCAAAGGACUAGCAUGAGGAGAAUAAGUGUCAUCAUCAUAAAUGAGAGCAAUACCACUAACAGGGUAUAUAUCAUCAUAUACAAGCAAAUGAGUUUUCAAAUCAAUCUUAAGUGAUGGUAUCAUGUAAUGCAAGGUAGUAGCAAAGAAAUUAUACGGACGCAUGUCAUCAAGAGGAUUAGAUAAACCUGCUACAUCACGCUCCUGUAUGACGAUGGGCAAAUGCAUUUCCGGUUCUUCAAGUUCAUCUAUAGCAGCUUCUUUUACUUUUUCGGAAGAGAUAGACAUUGGAUCUUCAACUUGUUCAUUUGGGUAUUCGAGCUCUGGAUCAUCUUGUUCCUUGUCUUUUUGUAAAUCUUCUUCAAGUUGAGGUCUCUCUUCCUCUGGAUCUUCUAUGGUGCUACUACCAGCAACACCUAAUUGAGUCUGGAGUGUCCCCAUCUGUGAAUAUGCACUAACAUGAUCUGGUAGGGGUGCUGAGAUCACUACCUCGCUGUCUUUCUGAGCAAUGUUCUCCUCAUCACCAUCACUGCUAAGUUUCAACAAUGACACUGAUGACUUCCACCAGUCAUGCAGCUCAGCAACAUGUGGGAUCUUCUCAAAAUAUUGAAGUAUCAACUCUUCUAAAUUUGACUCAACCUCUUGUAUAUCUCUCCUUGGAAUGUCUCCGACUUGCUUAGUUGUAUGUGCAGGAAUUGGAAUCUCAUCUUCACUAUUCUUCUCUGAGAUACUCUCUUUAACUGAGAUAGAGGCAACCACCGGUGGAGCUAAUGAUUUCUUCUUGACAAAUAGCCCAGAUAUAGUUGUAACACAAGUGUGGGCAAUUGGUGACACGACUAAAUUCCACCAGUCACAUAGUUGACUAACACAAGUGAAUUUCUCCAUAUCUUGUUGUCUCCACUUAGCAUCAAUCAGAGUAGGUUCCUCAUAAACAUCUUGCAACUUUGACUCAGUCUGGACAGUUUCAUUGCCAUGAGGUAUUGGAUCUGCUACUGUGGUUUCCAUCUGAUCUACAAUGGUUGCAUCAUCUUGAAAAAUAUCAUAAUCAUCAUCAAGGAUACUUGAAGUAAGAUCAAUCUUUCUACAUGGAGGAUCUAAUUCAGCUCUGAAAUGUUGUUGUCCCCGGAAUGAAACAUGCUGGUUUUGAAUAUUAGGCACCAUGGAUGAUUUCUGUUCACUUAUGGAACACACAGCUUCUGAUUGCAGAUGGCUUGCAACCUUCGGAUUUGAACUAGGCCUUUCAUAACCCCAUUGCAUUUGGUGGAAGGCAAUGCUCUCAAUGAGAAUAAUUGCACCCUCAACGGUCUUGUUCAUGAUUGUUCCACCAGCUGACAUAUCAAUAAGAUCUCUCGAAGCAUGUGUCAGCCCUCUAUAGAAUAUCUGGAGCACUAACCAAUCCUUUUGCCCAUGAUUAGGACAUUUUCUAAGCAAAUACUUAUAUCUCUCCCAAGCUGCAUACAAGCUCUCACUUCCAUCUUGCGCAAAACUGAGGAUCUGGUCACGAAUUGCAGCUUGCUUGUAAAGUGGAAAAUAUCUGUGCAGGAAAGCUUGCGAAAUAUCACCCCAAGUGUAUGAUCUUGAUGGCAAAGAAUAGUACCAGUCCUUAGCAGCAUCUCUGAGAGAGAAUGUGAACAGCAUACACUUGAUAGCAUCUUGGGAAACGCCAUGGUACUGGACUGUAUUGGCAUACACCAGGACAUUACAAAUGUGCUCAUGAGGGUCUUCAUUGGGUAAUCCUCUAAACUGACUCUGCAAGACGAGAGCAAUAAGUCCAGGCCUCAACUCAAAAUUUUCGGCCUCAAUAGAUGGCCAAAUUAGCCCUAUCAUCGUGUCCAAACUACUUGGCAACCAAAGAUCACGUACUAAAGCCAUAUGUUCAAGCGCAACUGUCAAUCAGCCUACAAAUAGUAAGAUAUCCUACACACGCUCACAAACAUCAAGCUCUCGUGAGAGGGUUAGUAUCCUAAUAAGCCGAAGCAACAAAAAAUAAAAAAGUAAAAGAAACACAUAAAUAAAUUUGACUGGAAAUUUAAACAAGAACUAUACUAAGCCUAGUCUAUAGCUUCACACAAUCGCUCAACGCUAGUCCCCGGCAACGGCGCCAAAAUGAUCAAUUGUAAAUGUAGUGGAAUAUUUUGCCCAAACUACGGAUGUCGUGUUCUCCACAUGGACUAGGCAACGGCAACAAUGCUCGGCUAAAGCUAGGUGACGGAAUUUAGAUGAUGAUUGCAAGCCUAAACUAACCAAAGUCAACGGCAAAGAAAAUGAAAAUAAGCAAUGGGAUGUUCAUAUUAUCUUCAUUGUAUUUUUGUUUUACUUGAGACAAUAAAUGCUAACACAAGCAAACAUCAAACGGCUAGGGAAUUAAAAUGACAUGAACAUAUAUAUAACUAUCUUACAUUUAACAAGGGGAAGAAACGAGGUUGAAGGAUAGAACAUAAAAUGCAUCACUUCACAGACAUGCACAAAUGUAUAUAUAUCACACGUACUUGCGCUAACACAAAGACUACACAAUGUAACAAGGUUCUUAAGCAAGAAAUGACAGGGGAUAUAUAUAUAGCUAAUUAUCAAGCAAACAAACUGAGUGACACAUGCCACGGUUCAGCUCACAGAUCACAAAUGUAACACUACAAACACAAGCCUGAAAUUGAACAAAUCACUAUAUUAUACAGUACUAACUCCUGUGAGUUACAGAGAGAGAAACUGCAGCAGCGAGUUGGGGAUUCAGAGAAGAACAGCAGGGUCGUUUUCUUCAGAAAGGAAUAGCAGCAAGGAAUGAGAACAGCAGCAGCGUGGAGGUUUGGAGAAGAAGCAGCAGCAAAUGAAGAGGAGCAGCAGCAGUGACGUGAAGAGAAGAAGGGCAGCAAGGGCUUGGGUAAGUAGAAGGUUCAGAGAAGAGUAGGAGGUAGCAAUAGCUUCAGCGCAGGGAGAGAAGCAGCCGCGGUUUGGGUUCAGAGAAGUAUCAGCAAGAGAAAUUGAGGGAGCAGCAGCAGGGGGGCGAUGGAGUCAAUGGUGGUGCUGGGUGCUGCUGGUGCGGUGGAUGGAGAAUGCAGAUGCAGUGGCUUGCGGAGAUGGACGGAGAUGGUGGUGGCUUGCGGCGACGGCAGAUAUGGAUGAAGAUGGUGGUGGCUUGCGGCGCUGAUGGAUGGGAGGCGCACCACCAUGCCGGCCUGGCCGUGGCGGCGGCCGGAGCUGAAGGAGGAGAG
This 5928-nucleotide long non-coding RNA is filed under the name Triticum aestivum (bread wheat). RNAcentral's name for it is "long non-coding RNA (TAES_LNC017943)". Lineage: Eukaryota; Viridiplantae; Streptophyta; Magnoliopsida; Poales; Poaceae. The record is from RNAcentral.